UCUUUCUUAGGGUGAGGUGUGAUCUUUUAGGCAGGCAGGGAAGCAGAAGGUGAACUAUAUUGUGUGACAGACGGGCUUGAGACACUGCCCAUGAAGCAUGGUACAUUACUGUGUGAGUUUUAUGCACGGAUGUCUUCAGGCUUCCUCACACGGUGAAUGGUAAGGCUGCGGAAUGUAUCCCAUCAACAACAAUUUAAAACAAUGACUCUCAGUACUGAAUCUCAAACUUUGUUCCGCUUUCCACAGUGUGUUUCGAGCAUUUCCUGUUAAUUGAUGCACACUGACCCGAAUUGUCCCCUGGUUUUCUAUAAAAACAGCAUUCCGGAAUCUGUCAGAGGAGCAUCCAAUCUGGGCCUUGGCGAGGUUUUACUCUUAGCAACCUUCUCUCAUACAGUUGGUAUAAAUCAGCAACUUUUCUCAAUGUGAAAACUUCGAAAAACGUGCCACAAAACAACAAAUUUUAUGACAUAUGCCAGUGAAAAGGCGUGGUUGAGAGCGUGCUGACCUUUACAUCACAACCUGGUACUCCAGCUGCAGUGCUGCCGACAAAAAAGCCUUGCAGAGGGUGGUUAGGGGAGCAGAGAAGGUUAUUGGGGUCUCCCUAUCUUCUGUCCAAGACCUCUUUCAGAGUCGAUGCCUCCAGAAGACACGGUACAUCAUUAAAGACCCCUCACACUCUCUCCAUGAACUGUUCGUUCUUCUGCCAUCAGGUAAACGUUACAGGAGCAUCAAAACUAAAACCACAAGACUACUAAACAGCUUCCUCCCACAGGCAGUCAGACUGCUGAAUAACUGCUCUACCUGACUCUGCUUUGGACACGUUUAACUUACACUUACACUGAACACUUACAACUUGAUUUUAACCGAAAUGGGACUGUUGUGUUUUACUAUUUAUUGUUGUGUUUACUAUUUGUUGCGUUUGUUAUGUUAUGAUUGCACUUGCCCCUGGGAAAUGCUGUCUCAUUCUGCCCUGCAGAGCUGAUGUAUGGUUGGAAUGACAAUAAAGUUUUUGAAUCUUGAUUCUGAUUCUGAUUCCUUAUCUUCAUUGUUCAGAGAGGUUGGUACUAGAUCAGACAAACUAUGGCAUAUUUUACAGUGGUGGUGGUGGCAUCCGUCGGUCUCGAGAGACCAUGGAUCUGCGCCUGGAGUUUCCAGGGCGCAGGCCUGGGCAGGGUUGUAUGGGAGACCGGCAGUUGCCCAAGCUG
Hypanus sabinus (Atlantic stingray) is the source of this 1205-nucleotide long non-coding RNA. RefSeq lists it as uncharacterized. The record is from RefSeq and is a predicted model, not a curated record. Lineage: Eukaryota; Metazoa; Chordata; Chondrichthyes; Myliobatiformes; Dasyatidae. The transcript is spliced from 3 exons.